This 253-nucleotide ribosomal RNA is filed under the name uncultured bacterium. RNAcentral's name for it is "partial 16S ribosomal RNA". It matches the Rfam family "Bacterial small subunit ribosomal RNA", at positions 524 to 776 of the family's 1533-position model. The record is from RNAcentral.
UACGUAGGUGACAAGCGUUGUCCGGAUUUACUGGGCGUAAAGAGCGCGCAGGCGGUCGUUCAAGUCGAGUGUGAAAGCCCCCGGCUCAACUGGGGAGGGUCAUUCGAUACUGAUCGACUCGAAGGCAGGAGAGGGUAGUGGAAUUCCCGGUGUAGUGGUGAAAUGCGUAGAUAUCGGGAGGAACACCAGUGGCGAAGGCGACUACCUGGCCUGUUCUUGACGCUGAGGCGCGAAAGCUAGGGGAGCGAAUGGG